GGGUUGUGAGGUUAAGCGACUAAGCGUACACGGUGGAUGCCCUGGCAGUCAGAGGCGAUGAAGGGCGUGCUAAUCUGCGAUAAGCGCCGGUAAGGUGAUAUGAACCGUUAUAACCGGCGAUACCCGAAUGGGGAAACCCAGUGUGAUUCGUCACACUAUCAUUAACUGAAUCCAUAGGUUAAUGAGGCGAACCGGGGGAACUGAAACAUCUAAGUACCCCGAGGAAAAGAAAUCAACCGAGAUUCCCCCAGUAGCGGCGAGCGAACGGGGAGGAGCCCAGAGCCUGAAUCAGCAUGUGUGUUAGUGGAAGCGUCUGGAAAGUCGCGCGAUACAGGGUGACAGCCCCGUACACAAAAGCGCAUGUGUUGUGAGCUCGAUGAGUAGGGCGGGACACGUGGUAUCCUGUCUGAAUAUGGGGGGACCAUCCUCCAAGGCUAAAUACUCCUGACUGACCGAUAGUGAACCAGUACCGUGAGGGAAAGGCGAAAAGAACCCCGGCGAGGGGAGUGAAAAAGAACCUGAAACCGUGUACGUACAAGCAGUGGGAGCACAGGUUUACCUGUGUGACUGCGUACCUUUUGUAUAAUGGGUCAGCGACUUAUAUUCUGUAGCAAGGUUAACCGUAUAGGGGAGCCGGAGGGAAACCGAGUCUUAAUUGGGCGUUAAGUUGCAGGGUAUAGACCCGAAACCCGGUGAUCUAGCCAUGGGCAGGUUGAAGGUUGGGUAACACUAACUGGAGGACCGAACCGACUAAUGUUGAAAAAUUAGCGGAUGACCUGUGGCUGGGGGUGAAAGGCCAAUCAAACCGGGAGAUAGCUGGUUCUCCCCGAAAGCUAUUUAGGUAGCGCCUCGUGAAUUCAUCUCCGGGGGUAGAGCACUGUUUCGGCUAGGGGGCCAUCCCGGCUUACCAACCCGAUGCAAACUGCGAAUACCGGAGAAUGUUAUCACGGGAGACACACGGCGGGUGCUAACGUCCGUCGUGAAGAGGGAAACAACCCAGACCGCCAGCUAAGGUCCCAAAGUCAUGGUUAAGUGGGAAACGAUGUGGGAAGGCCCAGACAGCCAGGAUGUUGGCUUAGAAGCAGCCAUCAUUUAAAGAAAGCGUAAUAGCUCACUGGUCGAGUCGGCCUGCGCGGAAGAUGUAACGGGGCUAAACCAUGCACCGAAGCUGCGGCAGCGACACUGUGUGUUGUUGGGUAGGGGAGCGUUCUGUAAGCCUGUGAAGGUGUGUCGUGAGGCAUGCUGGAGGUAUCAGAAGUGCGAAUGCUGACAUAAGUAACGAUAAAGCGGGUGAAAAGCCCGCUCGCCGGAAGACCAAGGGUUCCUGUCCAACGUUAAUCGGGGCAGGGUGAGUCGACCCCUAAGGCGAGGCCGAAAGGCGUAGUCGAUGGGAAACGGGUUAAUAUUCCCGUACUUGGUGUUACUGCGAAGGGGGGACGGAGAAGGCUAUGUUGGCCGGGCGACGGUUGUCCCGGUUUAAGCGUGUAGGUGUGUGUUCCAGGUAAAUCCGGUUCACUUUAACACUGAGGCGUGACGACGAGGCACUACGGUGCUGAAGCAACAAAUGCCCUGCUUCCAGGAAAAGCCUCUAAGCAUCAGGUAACAUCAAAUCGUACCCCAAACCGACACAGGUGGUCAGGUAGAGAAUACCAAGGCGCUUGAGAGAACUCGGGUGAAGGAACUAGGCAAAAUGGUGCCGUAACUUCGGGAGAAGGCACGCUGACACGUAGGUGAAGUGAUUUACUCAUGGAGCUGAAGUCAGUCGAAGAUACCAGCUGGCUGCAACUGUUUAUUAAAAACACAGCACUGUGCAAACACGAAAGUGGACGUAUACGGUGUGACGCCUGCCCGGUGCCGGAAGGUUAAUUGAUGGGGUCAGCGCAAGCGAAGCUCCUGAUCGAAGCCCCGGUAAACGGCGGCCGUAACUAUAACGGUCCUAAGGUAGCGAAAUUCCUUGUCGGGUAAGUUCCGACCUGCACGAAUGGCGUAAUGAUGGCCAGGCUGUCUCCACCCGAGACUCAGUGAAAUUGAACUCGCUGUGAAGAUGCAGUGUACCCGCGGCAAGACGGAAAGACCCCGUGAACCUUUACUAUAGCUUGACACUGAACAUUGAGCCUUGAUGUGUAGGAUAGGUGGGAGGCUUUGAAGCGUGGACGCCAGUCUGCGUGGAGCCGACCUUGAAAUACCACCCUUUAAUGUUUGAUGUUCUAACGUGGACCCGUGAUCCGGGUUGCGGACAGUGUCUGGUGGGUAGUUUGACUGGGGCGGUCUCCUCCUAAAGAGUAACGGAGGAGCACGAAGGUUGGCUAAUCCUGGUCGGACAUCAGGAGGUUAGUGCAAUGGCAUAAGCCAGCUUGACUGCGAGCGUGACGGCGCGAGCAGGUGCGAAAGCAGGUCAUAGUGAUCCGGUGGUUCUGAAUGGAAGGGCCAUCGCUCAACGGAUAAAAGGUACUCCGGGGAUAACAGGCUGAUACCGCCCAAGAGUUCAUAUCGACGGCGGUGUUUGGCACCUCGAUGUCGGCUCAUCACAUCCUGGGGCUGAAGUAGGUCCCAAGGGUAUGGCUGUUCGCCAUUUAAAGUGGUACGCGAGCUGGGUUUAGAACGUCGUGAGACAGUUCGGUCCCUAUCUGCCGUGGGCGCUGGAGAACUGAGGGGGGCUGCUCCUAGUACGAGAGGACCGGAGUGGACGCAUCACUGGUGUUCGGGUUGUCAUGCC
This 2716-nucleotide ribosomal RNA is filed under the name Salmonella enterica subsp. enterica serovar Stanley. RNAcentral describes it as "partial 23S ribosomal RNA". It matches the Rfam family "Bacterial large subunit ribosomal RNA". The record is from RNAcentral. Lineage: Bacteria; Pseudomonadati; Pseudomonadota; Gammaproteobacteria; Enterobacterales; Enterobacteriaceae.